CGGCCCGGGAGGGAGGGCAGCGCCGGCGGCGGCCCCGGGUAAGAGCAGGGCGGAACGGGGAUGAGAAACUGUUACCUGAGGCAGCGGCAGAAGGUACGACUUGAAGCUCUCGCGUUCUGUAACAGAAAGUUGUGCAAAUUGCAGAUGUCAGGAGCUGACUGCCAUGGACUAGAGAAGGGCCGACGUUUGCAUUCAAGGUUCCUAUUUGCCUCCUACGGUGUAUGAACUUUACAAGCACUUGUUGAAAAUGGAUUAAGUGGCUGCCAUGUCAUUAUUGAAAAGAAAGUGUUCAUUAGCAGCACAGCAUCACAUAUACCUAAGGAAGAGGUCAAUAGCUGUUAACCUGAUAUAAAAAUUGUCCCAUGCUUCCUCUGCAAAUACAUCGGACCAUAAACGUGAAGGAAAUUAAUACUUGUCAUUGGAAUAGCUACUCCUUUCUGCUAUCAUGUGCAAAAAGCUCUAUUCAGAGAAGAUUCACUGCAUACUCAGCCCCCUGUCACGCUCAUCCUGGUCUCCUUCACGCUUCUUGCAGCGACAGCAGACUCGCUUGAUGAUUAUGUAGAGGUGGCUGAAGAUAAUCAUUGGUGGUGGGAGGACAGGUCUGUCAUGGAAUGUCAUGAUCAGCUGGUACCGCUGGAACUUCCAGACUUGGUUGGAUAUUGAUUUUACUUCAAAGAAGGUAUUGCUGAAAGAGGACAGGUGUAAUUUCCAUUAGGCCUCCAAGUUUACUUAACAUUUAACAAGAACUACAUUGAAAAAAGAAGAAAGUAAAUAGCAAAAUGAUGCCACACAACUUGCUUGGUUCAGCUCUUUGUCAAGGCAGCUGAACUUGCUGAAGAUUAAGCUAAACUCAUUAUUUUACUGCUCCUUUUGAAGGCAGCACAGCAGGUGCUCCGCAUCCCUUAUGCACCACCCAAAAGAGUCCUCUUCGUUUUCUUCUACCAUAUAAAGCAUUUUAGCUGUCAGUUAAGACAAACGUGCACAAUUUAUAGUCAGAUAACUAGUAUUUUGGAGCUUGGUUAUAAAGUACUUCUAUUAAUAUAUACUCACAUUUGAUAUCACACAAAGUAUUAAAUCCAUGAAAGAUAUUUUCCACUCUAAACCCAGAAGAGUCACAUCUUUUUCUUUUAACAUGUUAAUCUGCUUGACCUAUACAAAACACUUCUCAAGUUUUUAAACAAAAUGCCCUAAAUUUAAACUUUGUUCAUUUAGACUUCUAAUUUGAAAAUACUGCAUAUUCUUUUAAAAGGAGUUGUUUGUGGGAGUUACAGUUUCAUCAUUUCUACAUCAGAAUGAGUUUUACUAUAAAGACAACCAAUUAGCAAUUCAGUGAAGGAAUAGAGAACUGCAUCCAAUCCAGAGACAACAAUAUUCAACGUUACAAAAUGCAAACUAAGAAAAUUUGGAAGUUCUGUCUUAGAUGAUGUUUUUCAAGCUAUUUUAAAACAUGCUAGGACAGUUCUCUUCUAUGAUGAUUCUGACACUUCCUCUUCUUAUCUUUUCUAUUUCUUUUCUAACUUUCUGUGCUUUGGAAUAUUCACAAAACCAGACAUGACACUUCUUCAAAAAUGGAGAAUUCUUGAUUGCACAAAGCACUCCAUUUCUUUUGGCUAAGAAUAUGAGAUUACUUACACUGAUAAAUGACAAUCUGACUUCAUUCUGUGUCUCCUGCACAGCAAGAAUUCCCCAGCUACAACUCGCCCCCCUGCAACCGUGCUAGGAUAGCAGGAGUUAACAGUAUGACCUACUUCUCAAACUGCUGAUUCCUUCCUCUCUUCAGCCAAUAAUAGUUACCACUGUAAGAUGCUUCCCCUUCCCCCUAGCAAUGUGACUGGCAUUUGGGUACUUUAAAAUUCAUGACCUUUUAAGCUAAAUACAUCAAAUGAAAGACAGGCUUUGUGAGCUGUAGCUUUCUGGGCACAAAAUGAACUAUUUUUGUGGUUGUGAUGCCCAUUACCUAUGCCAGCAAACCCUGCAACGCUGCAUAUUUAUGGGAAUCAAAAUGGAAUCACCUGCUUUUCUCAAUAGGUGUUUUGGGAAAAUUUUACUAGCAAAGAGAUGUAUUAAUUGUUUCUAUUUGUAUUUUCCAGUUCUUAGGUCAUUAUAGGAAAUGCAUGAGACAUAACUGUUGCAUAUAACUGUUGGCAGAAAGUACAAGCAGUAGAAAUGCAUUUAGGUUUACUCCAGAAAAUUCUAAGCAUGGAUUUAUGGAAUGAUGUUAUGAAUUUGCACAGUUGCACGUUGGUUGCACUGCCAUAAAUGCAGCCACAGAUUUUGGUAAAAUGUACCUAUCUUUUCUCUUGGUUCCAGGUAAUAUACACUCCUUUUCUGGGAGAUAUAGGAACUCUGCAAGGCUUUCAUUUCUUUUUCUCUAAAUUAGAAGCAAAGUAAGAAGAAAAAAAAGGAAAAGAAGCAGAUGAUGCAUGGAUGCAGCGGAAAUGUCUCUUAUUUUUUAUGUUCAGAUUUUCAUUCUGCAGAUCUACGGUAGAAUCAUGUUUGCCAGUGGUUGCAAGAGUUCUAUCACAUAUAUAGGUUUAGUGGAUUCAGUUUCAUCUUUACAAAACAAUCUUGAAGCCUGUCAGUAACCAUUAGACCCUAAUUGUAAGUACUCAUUCUCUCAUACACAUCACUGCAAAUCUGUACCAAAUUUUCUUCUGCUCUUUCAGAGUGUAUAGACCAUUCCAAAUAUUUACUAGUCAUGUUCAUAGAGAAAUUUUGAGGUUGUGAAUGCAAGGCAUUGCAAAAUUAGUUGACGGACUCUCAUCGAAACUUUAUCUUGACAAUAAGAAAUUAGUGCAUGAUUUACAUACUUGAAGACUGCAAUCAGCAGGUUUACCAGCAGAAUAUUUGCUACCAAGAGGUAACAAGCCAUAAUAGCGGGAGUGAGCCAGGCCCCUGGUAUGCACGGAGGGAGACGUUUACCAUCCUCAUCGUAAAGAUUGUCUCCACAAGGAGCUGAAGAAAAGAGAGGAAAGGUAUUUACAUUUCCUGACACUUGAGAACAGACUCACUUACUGAUGACGCACAUGUAAAGUCUACCAAACCAAAUAAAUUUUGUCAGUUUAUUUCCACUGGAGAGUAUGUAUAAUUUCUAGUCCAAAUUCUGCUUCUAACAACACCAUGCAAAAAUUAUUUCACAUAAUAGUGAAUGGUUACAUGGCUUGAGAUCUAGUGCACAAUGUAUCUUCCUCUUCAAAUUGACAAGGCUUUUUUUUUCCACAGUGACAUUACAGGACAAGAUCUUGAUGUGCACAUGUAUAAUUUCAUACCAGCAUUUUAAAAACAUCUCCGACUAAACUUGCAUGCAUAUCUUUUCAAAUGCAUAAAUGGAUUUAUUUUGUGGUUCAAGAUUGCUGAAUGUGUAUCAGGCCUUCAUCAGAGCUCUGAGUGUUUAAGUAGGCCCUAACUACCCUAAACUGCUUCUCUGAGGUCUACACCUACACUCCCCACACAUAUCUGUCCUUGCCCAAGCUGCAUCAGAUGUGCAGGCAUCAGAUUUUUCUCAUGGAUGGACUUUGGACCUAUACUUGUCUCCUGGAUAAAUCCUUUUGUUUCAACCCUGUCUUCUCUCACUGCAACCUGAACUCCCUACCUAGGCCCUGGAUUAUUACUUGCCUCAUCUUUUUAGCAAUUAGCAGCAGCCAUCUCUGAGAGACCAGGUCGCCCUGGGUCUGGCAUUGCUCACCCUGGGUCCCUGCUCUUUCUUACCUUAGGGCCAGCCCUGCUCCUGUUGCUUCCUGGCAGAUCUAAGCUGCAAAUCUGCCCUGAAUACCGAGUACUGCUACACAGACAGAAAUUGUUUAUGAUUAAAAAAACCUUUAUUUUUUCACUUGAAAAAAGUCGUGAAGUUGUAUGCAGUUAUUAACUUGUUCUCGAGUAGAAAACCUCAGUUUCUCAUCUUUUUAUGCCCACUUUCUUUAUUAUUCACAAUGAUAAUUUUAUCUUAAGGAGAGUAUAAAAGGGAAAUCAAAUGAAUCAUAAUAUUACUCAUGUGGACCAAUGAAAGUAAUACUAAAAAGCCACCAAUACAAUACCUGGAUAACCGGAAGGAAUUAUUUAUAACAUGACAAUCAUGCAUGAUAAUUUUUAAAAAUGAUUACCUUACUGGCAAUCCACUAGAAACAAAUCAUAGCAAUCACAUAAGCUUGACUAAAACUUUUGAUGUGCAACAUAUAUUACGACAGUUUUCCCCUUCUUUUCAGAUAAAUCUAUUUUGGUAGCAAAACAACUCACACAUGAACAUCAGAUGAACCCUAUAAUUAAAAUGUCUAGUGAAGAUCUAGCAUCUAGUGAAAAGAUUAAUGAACACAUUCAGCUAAAUGAGAUAAUCAACUCCCCAGAUAGACUUACGAUUGAUUUCCAUGGCAUAGACUGAAUUGCAGCAUUCCAAUGGAAGAAAUGAAAAAGGAAGCAAGGAGAGAAAGAAAACAAUAGAAUAAUAUAGGGGGGAAAAAAAAAAGAAAAAAAAAACAACAAAGAAGAUGAUUGAAAAUAUAGUUUUGCUGCCAAGAAACUAUAAAAAACUCAAAUGUCAAAA
Long non-coding RNA from Centrocercus urophasianus (Greater sage-grouse), 4537 nucleotides. RefSeq lists it as uncharacterized. The transcript is spliced from 3 exons. Lineage: Eukaryota; Metazoa; Chordata; Aves; Galliformes; Phasianidae. The record is from RefSeq and is a predicted model, not a curated record.